UUGGUAGCCACAACACUGAUGAUUCUC
RNAcentral lists this non-coding RNA (27 nucleotides) under Homo sapiens (human). The record is from RNAcentral. Lineage: Eukaryota; Metazoa; Chordata; Mammalia; Primates; Hominidae.